This 327-nucleotide long non-coding RNA is filed under the name Olea europaea (common olive). RNAcentral describes it as "long non-coding RNA (OEUR_LNC001205)". The record is from RNAcentral. Lineage: Eukaryota; Viridiplantae; Streptophyta; Magnoliopsida; Lamiales; Oleaceae.
GCGAUGACGCAAGAAAAUAUCACUACAGGCAACAGCGACGUAUACGAUGUUUUCCUUUCUCAAAGAACGGUCACAUGUUCAUGAUGGAGGCCAUGGGCGAGAAUAGUAAGAUGUGCUUUCAAGAAUUCCGUAUGUAUCCUGCAAUGCUUCGACAUUUCGCUUAUGUGUUGCGCGAUGAGCAUGGGCUACGUACGAACCAGCAUGUUGACAUCUACGAGCAAGUUGGCAUGUUCUUAUGCAUAUUAGCGCACGGGAAGGGAUAUCGACAGGUGACAACAAUUUUCAACCAUUCAUUGGAAACUGUAUGUCACUACGUUAAAGAGGUUC